RNAcentral lists this ribosomal RNA (434 nucleotides) under uncultured bacterium. Its description in RNAcentral is "partial 16S ribosomal RNA". It matches the Rfam family "Bacterial small subunit ribosomal RNA", at positions 29 to 507 of the family's 1533-position model. The record is from RNAcentral.
AGCGAACGAGGGAGGCAGGAGGAACACAUGCAAGUCGAACGAACCUUUCGGGGUUAGUGGCGGACGGGUGAGUAACACGUGGGAACGUGCCUUUAGGUUCGGAAUAACUCAGGGAAACUUGUGCUAAUACCGAAUGUGCCCUUCGGGGGAAAGAUUAAUCGCCUUUAGAGCGGCCCGCGUCUGCUUAGCUAGUUGGUUGAGGUAAUGGCUCACCAAGGCGACGAUCAGUAGCUGGGCUGAGAGGAUGAUCAGCCACAUUGGGACUGAGACACGGCCCAAACUCCUACGGGAGGCAGCAGUGGGGAAUCUUGCGCAAUGGGCGAAAGCCUGACGCAGCCAUGCCGCGUGAAUGAUGAAGGUCUUAGGAUUGUAAAAUUCUUUCAGCGGGGACGAUAAUGACGGUACCCGGAGAAGAAGCCCCGGCUAACUUCGUG